CUCUCUUCCUGCUCUUUCCUCCUCUGGUGUCACCGUGUCGUGACUCUUGUGCUCUGUCGCCACGCACAGUAAGCAGACGCAGGUCCCGUCGGUCCUACAGAAGAUUUCCAGAAGUUUCUGGUGUUUUGCGCAGAGUUUCUCUUCGAUGUUUCCAGUCGGCUCCUCCAGUUUGUGUCGUUUGUAGGCGCCAUGCUCCUUGUGCGGCUGCAGGUGAGUCUCACAGUAGGAGAUCAUGCAGGUCUUCACGGCGUUCCGUUUCCUAACUGGACACACAUCACAGGGGACAUCGACCUGUUCGGCACAACUCUGAGAUGGACUCGCAUCUACUCGCACUUCCUUCAGCGUCUCUAUUAUUUCUGUUAAUACGGUGUUUCUGUUAAUCUCUGGUCUCACGUUAAAUGUUCUUCUGCAAUGAGGGCAGUUGUAGGUGCCUUCUUUAUCCGACUGGUCCCAGAAGUCAUUAAUACAACGCAUACAGUAACUGUGUCCACGCGGGAUG
Molecule: long non-coding RNA, 499 nt
Organism: Erpetoichthys calabaricus (reedfish)
Lineage: Eukaryota; Metazoa; Chordata; Cladistia; Polypteriformes; Polypteridae
Exons: 3
Source: RefSeq, a predicted model, not a curated record